AUGGUGUUGUUCUUAUCACGUAGUUCAGUCAAGUUCCACGCACAGCUUCUAAAUUGUCUCCACAUAGAGUGUGCUGAUAUCCACAAGAAACAAGAGCAGCGUGACCGAACCACAACGUUCUCCGCCUUCCACAUGGCAGAAAAGGGUAUCAUGUUAUGCACUAAUGUGGCAGCACGUGGACUUGAUCUUCCUGAUGUGGUGAGGCUUUGGCAAAUCUAUCUUUAA
This 225-nucleotide ribosomal RNA is filed under the name Triticum aestivum (bread wheat). RNAcentral describes it as "partial small subunit ribosomal RNA". The record is from RNAcentral. Lineage: Eukaryota; Viridiplantae; Streptophyta; Magnoliopsida; Poales; Poaceae.